UUUCCGUAGGUGAACCUGCGGAAGGAUCAUUACUGAGUGAGAGCCUCUCGGGGUCCAACAUCCCACCCGUGUUUAACGAACCUUGUUGUUUCUGCGGGCCCGCCUCACGGCCCCCUGAAGGCAUCCGCCCCCGGGCCCGCGCACCCCGAAACAACUUGUGAACGCUGUCUGUAAUAUGUUGUCUGGAAAACUUAUUAAAUUAAUUAAAACUUUCAACAACGGAUCUCUUGGCUCCG
RNAcentral lists this unclassified non-coding RNA (236 nucleotides) under plant metagenome. Its description in RNAcentral is "partial contains small subunit ribosomal RNA, internal transcribed spacer 1, and 5.8S ribosomal RNA". The record is from RNAcentral.